Molecule: long non-coding RNA, 1664 nt
Organism: Hordeum vulgare subsp. vulgare (domesticated barley)
Lineage: Eukaryota; Viridiplantae; Streptophyta; Magnoliopsida; Poales; Poaceae
Exons: 2
Source: RefSeq, a predicted model, not a curated record
UGUACAUCCGUAGUUUAUAAUACAGUCUCUAAAAUGUCUUAUAUUUAGGAACGGAGGGAGUACUAUUUUUGUUUUCCUUAACCUAGAACAUGAAGGGCCUAUUUUACUCCCUUAAAGUAUUGGCAUUAGCAAGUCACCCCCUCAUAUGUCUGAGGCUUGGAACUGUAAAUGGAAAAUCGGGAGAAAAUGUAGCGAUGAGCUGGACAACAUAAUACAGGAACAGAAAAAAAAACAUACACAUGCUAGCCGCUUUACAUAAUUAUUAUUCAGUAAUGUUCAGCAGAGAGUUCCAUUUGAUUUUCAGACCAUCAACCCACUCAUGUUAGUUUCUGGUACAUACAUGCCCCCCAUGGAAAUUUUGAUCUGCUUGCAGCUUGUAAACACUUUCUUCAAGCUGCCCAAAAGCUGCUGGUACAUCUAACUUUAUUGGUCAUUUAAACCUUGAAAAGGAAAAUGCGUGCCAAAAUAUAAGAAAACCGUUCAGCUUGAUCCCCUUCCAGAUAUUUCUGUCAUCUGCUGUUUCCCUCUAUAGGAUCUGAAUGACACAUUGUUACCAUUUCGUCGACACAUCGUGUUUCUUUCGUCCCAUUUUCUUUAAUAUGCAUCGCAUUAUGACCUGCUGUUUAGGGUAGGCACGACUUCAUGUCACUGUUUUUGAGCAUGGAAUUUUUUUGUAUUGUGCAAAAGUCGAUGCAGCGCCAAUACUUUAUUUAUCAGAUGUGCAUUGUUCAACAACUUUAAUUGGUUAAAGCUUUAAGAUGCCUGCAUUUCUAUCCAUGUAAUGUACUCUCCACAUAUUUAAUGAUGCAUAUCUUCCAUCAAGUCUCAAUACUGCUUUUGAAGGUACAACACAUCUUUGCAUUUUCUAGAUAUAAUUGCAUCAUGCUUACUUUUUUUUCUACAUAGUUUUUCUUUUCUUUUAAUACAGUCUGCUCAUCCAUGGCUAUAAGAAGAGAAGGCUCUAACCUAUUUGGAUCUGCACCGUCUCUCCUCUCUUUUAAUACAUGGAGGCUCUCAAGGUCAAGAUGCCAGACUUGUGCUUGCUCUUGCUCAUGGCACUCCUGUUGCUUCCUGGAUCUGAAGGAGAUACCUGCACAAUGAUCAGCCGGACCUACAUUACUAUCUUAUGUGUGCGUCACACAUGCGUCGAACAUUGCGAUGGAGUUCUCGGCCCUUUUGGGUUCAUCCUGAUGAGCAGCUACAGAUGCAGAUAUAGAGAUAUAGCUGUGUUGUGAUGCGAUUAUAUAUAUCUUCUGGAGUGUUUGCAUGUGAUUCUAUCUCCAGUGUUUACAUUGUUAAAUUAUCCGGAUAAUGUGUCCUAGCACAGUGUUUGACAAAAAAGAAGAAAGCAAAACAUGAAUGCAGUUGGUGCUAGCUCUGUCAGCUUCCUACUUGGCCUCUAGAGAAGCAGAGAGAUUUUUGUCACUAAAGAUGAUAUCCUCCUCAGACUGAGAGUCAUAAGAACAUCUAACUAAAUAGUUCUACUUCAGUACAUUUAUAAUCAUAUAUAUGGUAUAAGAUCAUGCCGUAUUCUUUCCCCCCUUAAAUUAUUGGCAUUAGCACUUCACCCCUAAUCUUUGUCUGUGGCUUGGAAUAGUAAAUGGAAAAUCCGGAGAAAACGUACUGAUGAGCUGGACAAAAGAAUACACGGUAACAACUAAAAA